Molecule: ribosomal RNA, 427 nt
Filed under: uncultured bacterium
Lineage: Bacteria
Description: bacterial SSU rRNA
Rfam family: Bacterial small subunit ribosomal RNA
Source: RNAcentral
UGGGGAAUUUUGGACAAUGGGCGCAAGCCUGAUCCAGCAAUGCCGCGUGCAGGAUGAAGGCCUUCGGGUUGUAAACUGCUUUUGUACGGAACGAAAAAGCUCUCUCUAAUACAGGGGGUGAAUGACGGUACCGUAAGAAUAAGCACCGGCUAACUACGUGCCAGCAGCCGCGGUAAUACGUAGGGUGCAAGCGUUAAUCGGAAUUACUGGGCGUAAAGCGUGCGCAGGCGGUUUUGUAAGACAGAGGUGAAAUCCCCGGGCUCAACCUGGGAACUGCCUUUGUGACUGCAAAGCUGGAGUGCGGCAGAGGGGGAUGGAAUUCCGCGUGUAGCAGUGAAAUGCGUAGAUAUGCGGAGGAACACCGAUGGCGAAGGCAAUCCCCUGGGCCUGCACUGACGCUCAUGCACGAAAGCGUGGGUAGCAAACA